UGACCCUAGGUUCAAACUGAAAUUUGUUGACUUUGUUUUCAGCAAGGCCUUUCCUAAGACAGGCAAGGAAAAGAUUGAUAGAGUAGAAAAACUAGUCCGUGGGCUGUUUUCAUCAUACACCUCUCAACAAGAAACCCCAUGUGCAGCAUCUACACAACAAAUACCUAGUGUCUGUUCAGUGAACAAUGACCCGUGGGCAGAAUGGUAUAAAAAAGUCAGUAAUGAUCUUCAAACUCGGAGAAGCACAGAGCUUGAUAGGUAUUUGGAUGAGGACCCAAUUCGAGCUGAAGAGUUUGACAUAAUAAAUUGGUGGAUGGGUAAUGCGACAAAGUAUCCAACCCUUUCUCGUAUAGCCCGAGAUUUGUUUGCUGUUCCAGCCACGUCUGUACCUUCAGAAUCAGCUUUUAGCAUGGCAAGAAGAACCAUCAAUGAUUUUCGAAGUAGCCUAACCCCUGAGACAGUAGAAGCGCUUAUAUGCACCCAAGACUGGUAUAGGGCAGAAGGUUCGACGCAGUUUUCUACUGCAGCAGUUGAUGAUUUCAUUAUGGAAGAGAAUGAACCAUGAAAUUCACAGUGUGGUUUGUAGGAGUGUUUCAUCUUGACGCUAGAGAAGCAACAAGAGGCAGCAGAAUAGUGACAAUGUAUUACUUUAGUAGCUUAUGAUGAUGCUAUUAGCUGACUUUGGUAUGGUUUUUGUUAGCAUCUCUUGAAAUUGGAUUAGCCUAUUGGAGACAUGGAAAUUUGGUUUCCUGUUUCAUGGCUCUGUGAAGAUUUUUAUGUGCAAUUAAUUCUUUCAAAUAAAAUAGGCUUUUGUUA
This is a long non-coding RNA of Sorghum bicolor (sorghum), 816 nucleotides long. RefSeq lists it as uncharacterized. The transcript is spliced from 3 exons. The record is from RefSeq and is a predicted model, not a curated record. Lineage: Eukaryota; Viridiplantae; Streptophyta; Magnoliopsida; Poales; Poaceae.